AAGUCGUAACAAGGUUUCCGUAGGUGAACCUGCGGAAGGAUCAUUAACACGUAUCCAACGUUAAACAACCCUGUGAACUUUAAGUCCCCUCUUGCAGCCCAUGAGGAACAGCAAUCCCGGUAAAUCAUUGCCAAACAGUUUUGAUUUGCAAUCGAAGGGUGGAAGCAGUGGCAUGGCUUCCCCAAGCAGUUAGUGAAUGACAGUGUCACUGACUGUGUAAGGAUAACGCCUCACGGUUGCUAGAGGUCGAUCACCGACCGGCAGACAUGUCACAGGGUCACCACGCCCCUUAAUCACUCCACUUGAAAAUGCCCCGCCUAGUGGUAACGCGCUAGGUAAAAAAAACCGAACAACUGUUAACAAUGGAUAUCUUGGUUCUC
Molecule: unclassified non-coding RNA, 380 nt
Filed under: fungal sp.
Lineage: Eukaryota; Fungi
Description: partial internal transcribed spacer region
Rfam family: Eukaryotic small subunit ribosomal RNA (bases 1-46)
Source: RNAcentral